GAAAAGAAACCAACAGGGAUUGCCCUAGUAACGGCGAGUGAAGCGGCAACAGCUCAAAUUUGAAAGCUGGCUCUCGGGCCCGCAUUGUAAUUUGCAGAGGAUGCUUCUGGCGACGCGCCUUCCGAGUUCCCUGGAACGGGACGCCAUAGAGGGUGAGAGCCCCGUCCGGUCGUGCGCCUAGCCUCUGUGAAGCUCCUUCGACGAGUCGAGUAGUUUGGGAAUGCUGCUCAAAAUGGGAGGUAUACGUCUUCUAAAGCUAAAUACCGGCCAGAGACCGAUAGCGCACAAGUAGAGUGAUCGAAAGAUGAAAAGCACUUUGAAAAGAGAGUUAAAAAGUACGUGAAAUUGUUGAAAGGGAAGCGCUCAUGACCAGACUUGGGCUGGCCCGAUCAUCCGGCGUUCUCGCCGGUGCACUCGGGCCGCCCAGGCCAGCAUCAGCUUUCGCCGGGGGAUAAAGGCGGCGGGAAUGUGGCUCCCUCGGGAGUGUUAUAGCCCGCCGUGCAAUACCCUGGUGGGGGCUGAGGUUCGCGCGUAUGCACGGAUGCUGGCGUAAUGGUUAUCAGCGACC
This 568-nucleotide ribosomal RNA is filed under the name Trichothecium roseum. Its description in RNAcentral is "partial large subunit ribosomal RNA". It matches the Rfam family "Eukaryotic large subunit ribosomal RNA", at positions 56 to 649 of the family's 3401-position model. Lineage: Eukaryota; Fungi; Ascomycota; Sordariomycetes; Hypocreales. The record is from RNAcentral.